GAAUCACUGGCAGCUGGGAUCAUUCGCCCAUCUUCAUCCCCUGCGGGAGCAGGAUUUUUCUUCGUGGACAAGAAAGACAAGACCCUGCGACCCUGUAUCGAUUACCGGGGUCUCAAUGAGAUCACGGUAAAAAACAGCAGUUACUGCAGAAUCAACUCUAUGUCAAGGCUGAGAAAU
Phyllopteryx taeniolatus (common seadragon) is the source of this 177-nucleotide long non-coding RNA. RefSeq lists it as uncharacterized. Lineage: Eukaryota; Metazoa; Chordata; Actinopteri; Syngnathiformes; Syngnathidae. The transcript has 2 exons. The record is from RefSeq and is a predicted model, not a curated record.